This is a non-coding RNA of Oncorhynchus mykiss (rainbow trout), 1558 nucleotides long. The record is from RefSeq and is a predicted model, not a curated record. NCBI's taxonomy places the organism in Eukaryota, Metazoa, Chordata, Actinopteri, Salmoniformes, Salmonidae.
UAUACUUAUGACGGGCCCUGUACUGAUGGGCCCUAUACUUAAACAGAUCUGUUAUACCCCCUUUAAUAGCGUUUUGAUACACAGGGAUAAAUCAGGGGCACACAGAGUGUUUGAUGGCCAUCAGCCCAGAACAGUAUGAAGACCGAACAGCUAAAACAAUCCUUCCUUCCUCAUGGAUAUUUUUGAAGGCUAUGAAAAAGACAUGACAUUGACUCCUGAGUGUUGAACUUUUGCCCACUCCAUAGCCACCCAGGUUAUUAUAUGACCCUGAUGGUCAUCUACGCAGGUUGGAACAUUUUGAACAUGUACUCUUUAAUGUCCACUCAGCACAGCCCUCGGAGCAUGGUACCGCUCUAGGUUUAACUCUUCUAGGGAGUGUUUCCUAGAGGCUGUGCUUCGGCAUAUCCACUGAUAGACUUUUAGACUGGGUAUCUGUAAACCACUUGUGUGACAACUGCUUAUGCAAAAAGGGGUUUUAAGAAAUACAUUUGGUUGAUUGACAGAUUUGUAUUAUUACAAAAAUAAUAUAACAAUAUUAUUAUAAUUAUUAUUAUUAUGUUACAGGUGAGACGUACCCAGAAAUGUCAACGUCAUGUCAAGUGCUCAAAUCUGUACACCAGCCCCAUACAAUCACGUACAGUAGCUCCAACUUACAAGAAUGUGUUUACAAGACAGUGAUGAAAACAGUUUAUAUGAGCUCUAAUUCAGACAUAGAAUUUAUAUAUAUAUUUUGAUACCCUUACCCAUUCAAAACUGUUGUUACAAAAUCACUUCUCGUUGUGUUCAUUUCAAGGUUUCACAAACCGAAAACAACUACGUAGUUAUGUUUCUCGGACUAACACGCUGGGGAGUUUCCUAUUUACUAAAGAACAAUCAUUAAGUCAAAACACAAACAAUUAUAAUAUCAUUUGUGUACGUGUCAUUCUAUACUGAAAACAGGUACAUUCUGAAAGAUUUGAUAACAUGUGAUAACACAUGUUUUGUUCAUGUCUCAAUUUAGCAUAAUACUGUUUAUUUUAUAUUUUACUUCAAUUGUAAUCUUUUUGUUGUCUCAUACCAUGCUAAUACACUAACAAGCAACGCAAACAGAUGUGGAAUUAACCCCCCCCAAAAACAAUUGUGUGUCUUUAUGGAUCAAGGAUUGAUCAAGAAUACUAAUAGGCAGGAUCAGAUCCUCUUUCCUAUUCAGGCAUCAUAUAAUACACAGCCACAUGCAAAUCCAUCAACUCCACCAAUAAAACAUUGAAAACGUUAACAUGACUGCUGGCAAUGUCAUUAUUUUUGUCACCAUCCAUCGAUGGUUGAAUUGUGUUAUUGUUCUUUGCACCGAGCUUCCAGUGGCUGGAGCCAAUCAACGUGGCAAAUUAAAAAUACCCAAAAUAAAACGUAUGCGAAAAGCUGUGCUGUUUUUCGUUGUUAUUUUUUUGUUGUUGUUACAACAACCAUGUCUUCCUAACAUUUGCCAUAACUAGUAAGUCUUACAUCCUGAAUGCAUAUGGGCUACCAAAUAUGCACCUGGGGACACAUGGGAGGGGUGGGAACACAUGCCCUUCUAAGU